RNAcentral lists this unclassified non-coding RNA (1704 nucleotides) under Bactrocera tryoni. RNAcentral describes it as "ribosomal RNA-processing protein 8, transcript variant X2". The record is from RNAcentral. Lineage: Eukaryota; Metazoa; Arthropoda; Insecta; Diptera; Tephritidae.
AACGCUAUCAGCUGUUUACUGUAUAUUAAGGCAUGUGCAGUCGUGUUGGUGGCGUAGUAUUUUUAUUUAUUUUUUGUUCAAUUCCGUUCCUCAGCUACUUUUCCAAGAGCGUAGAUUUGUGGUUUUUUAUACACAAAUUACACAUGAAAUUUUUGCCUGUGAAAUAAACUACAUAUAAUUGUAAAUUGAAAUUUUUUUAAGUUACGAAAUGCCAAAAUUUUUUGUACCUACAUCAUGGGAGAAUUUAGCAGAAGCAAUGAAAUUCCGUUCAAAAGUAUCUUUGGGCGAUAACAGUGCUGAGGCAAAGACAGUCCACGCUAUAUCAAGUACUAGAAAAAAGAAGAAAGUCAAGAAACCCAAAUUAGACACGGAUACAGCAAAAGAUUUGGCUAACGCAAAAGUCAACAAAAGUGGAUUAGAAUUUGAAAAAGUCCACAAGGGCCGAAUUGACAAAAAAAAUGUCGAUAAAAACCCACGGUCACAUGCUAAGGUCGUAAGUACGUCCGGAUAUCGUGGCCCUCAACCAGUUGAUGCGCUGUCAUCCACCAAAUUAAAUCUUAAGGGAACGAAAAAACGCAAUAAAAGUGUACCAAUCGCAGCUUCAAUUUCUAAAGAAGCUGUAAAAUUAGCUGGGUCGGCUAAUACUUCUUUAGAGAAAGAUAAUUCUGAUAGUGAAUUAGUUAGACCAACAAGUUCCCAGGACAUUGGAUUAAAAACUUUUGAAAACACUCUAAAGCAACAAUUGUUAGGUGGACGGUUUCGUUAUAUAAACGAACAGUUAUAUACCAUGGAUAGUACAGACGCGAAUGAAUUUUUCAAAUCAGAUGCCGAAGCCUUUAAUGCAUACCAUGCUGGAUAUCAACAGCAGGUGGAAAAAUGGCCUAUGAAUCCACUUGAUCGUAUAAUAAAAAUGAUUAAACGGUUACCAAAAUCCCUAGAAAUUGUAGACUUCGGUUGCGGUGAAGGUCGUCUGGCUACGAUGUUGCCCAAUAAGGUGUAUUCAAUGGAUUUGGUGAGCACCCGCAGCGAUAUAAUAGCAUGUGACAUGGCUUGUACGCCACUCAAUGACCAGUCGGUAGAUAUAGCCGUUUAUUGUCUGUCAUUAAUGGGAACGAAUCUAAAAGAUUACUUGUUGGAGGCGAAUCGCGUUUUACGUCCUAACGGUUUGGUAAUAAUUGCAGAGAUCCAAUCACGGUUCGAUGAUUUGCGGCAAUUUAUACGCGGACUAGAAGCUUGUGGAUUCGAAUUACUGAAGAAAGAUAUUAAUGAGCGGUUGUUUUAUUUUUUUCAGUUUAAAAAGGUACGAAAUGUUGGAAAAGUAGUGUUAAUACCGCCAUUUUCUCUGAAGCCGUGUUUAUAUCGGAAACGAUAAUUGAAGCAUUAUCGUUAUGACGACCUACAUUUCAGAAAGAAUGCUACUAAAUUUAUACCUAGAUUCAUAUGUAUGUAAAAACACAACAACGCUGUUAAAACCAUAUUUUUUCUUAUCUUCAAAAAACUUGCGAUGUCUAUAUACGAAAUGGAAGAAGUCGUCAGAAUUGGGAGACAAAAGAAUUAUGUACACAGAUGUAAAGAAAUCAAUCAGAGAAAGAUGUCGUUGUUCUCCUUUGGAAACAGCAGAUUUUCGUAAAAUUUAUUUCACUUAUCUUUGUUUAAGCUGCUAUAGUUAAGUGGAAGUGUAUUUUCAAAACCCGUAGAAGUUAA